RNAcentral lists this ribosomal RNA (260 nucleotides) under uncultured bacterium. Its description in RNAcentral is "partial 16S ribosomal RNA". It matches the Rfam family "Bacterial small subunit ribosomal RNA", at positions 793 to 1055 of the family's 1533-position model. The record is from RNAcentral.
GUCUACGCUGUAAACUAUGUACACUUGGUGUUGGGCCGUUUAGGUUCAGUGCCGUAGCUAACGCGAUAAGUGUACCGCCUGGGGAGUAUGCCCGCAAGGGUGAAACUCAAAGGAAUUUACGGGGGCCCGCACAAGCGGUGGAGCAUGUGGUUUAAUUCGAUGGUACGCGAGGAACCUUACCAGGGUUUGACAUAUGGAGGAAUAGGUCAGAGAUGAUCUAGCCCGCAAGGGUCUCUAUACAGGUGCUGCAUGGCUGUCGU